RNA transcript from Salvelinus fontinalis (brook trout), 6770 nucleotides. It is a transcript of the gene named putative zinc finger protein 137, with no coding region annotated. NCBI's taxonomy places the organism in Eukaryota, Metazoa, Chordata, Actinopteri, Salmoniformes, Salmonidae. The transcript is spliced from 5 exons. The record is from RefSeq and is a predicted model, not a curated record.
ACGGUUCUUCAGAAACAGCUCGUCAACCACCUCGGUAGCUUGCUAGCCAACAUAGCCGAAAGAUUCAAGCUAUUUAUACGCUGUUCGGUGUAUAUUACCCACACUUCUGUCGUAUCAACUUGUUAACCUAUUUAAUUGAAUAUUACGUUAUUUUGUAUUAGUCAGCUAUAGUAGCUGGCUGGUUUAGUUAGCACUAGCCUAGUCGCUAAUGAUAGCUAGCUAGCUAACAUCCCCGAACAUGAGGUCAGUAAGCUUCUCCCCUCCUGCUAAAGAAGAGGAAGUAUGCUGGACGAAGAAAGAGGGUCUGUGGCAGAACAUUGUUGUGAAAGAGGAGGAAGAGGAGGCUGUUACAUUGAAAGAAGAAGAGAAAGACGUUUCAUUGAAAGAAAGAGGAGGAUGCAGUUUUUGUAGUGAAAGAGGAGGAGGGGGAGAUGACUGUCACACUGGAUGAAGAAGAGGAGGUUGGAGAUCUGUUUAACACCAGAGAGAUACGGGAGCCUCAACAACCUCAUGAUGCUGACGAGGCAGAGAAGACUCUCUCCACAUCAGAACACAUCAAGAAACACCAGCAGAGACCCACGGGGAAGAAAUCUAACUGCUGCUCUGACUGUGCAGGUGAUGGGUUCUGACUUCUGACUAACUAACUAAGGCCGGUGACCUGUCCAGAAGAGAUGUUACAACGAACGGAAUCGUCAAUGAAGGUCUUCCUCUUUAUAUAGCCUGAUACAGCAUGCAAUACUAUUAACUCACAAGGGGGCAUAACGGUACAUGGACCAUACUAUCCCAUUUUGGAAACGUUACAUGGACAAUACUAUCCCAUUUUGGAAACGUUACAUGUACAAUACUAUCCCAUUUUGGAAACGUUACAUGGACAAUACUAUCCCAUUUUGGAAACGUUACAUGGACAAUACUAUCCCAUUUUGGAAACGUUACAUGUACAAUACUGUCCCAUUUUGGAAACGUUACAUGGACAAUACUAUCCCAUUUUGGAAACGUUACAUGUACAAUACUAUCCCAUUUUGGAAACGUUACAUGGACAAUACUGUCCCAUUUUGGAAACGUUACAUGUCCGCUCUCUUGUGGAGGGAAAUUAAUAGCUUAGAUGGUAGCUGUAGAUGAGAUUCAAAUGCAUAAUGGUAUUAAUACAGUGUCUAGACUACCUCUUUUGUAUAAAUGCCCUUCAAAAACCAAACACAGUAUUACCACGCAGCAAAAUGUUGUGUAUAAUCUUUCAAGUCAGCCUGAUAAAAUAUUGAACAAUUUGUGUACAAAGAUAUCUUGAAAUGUGAUAUUAGGCCUGUAUGGCAGUACUGUAUUGGCUAGUGCUUUCUCCAAUAUGUUCUUCUAUUUUGCAUUAAAUUGUAUGUCGAUAACAUUUAUUUUUCAAUAUAUAUAUAUUUAAAUGCUUGUAAGGUGAUUCUUUGACACAUUUUCUCUUCCUUUGAAAUUCUUAUAGGACAGAACAUGGACACAAUGCAAUUGGGAUCAAGAAGAAGGACUGGAGACCACAGCAGCGAUCCUGCUCUUGCCCUACCUCUUCAAUGAGGACCCGAGUGGCCUUUAUGUCCGUGACACGAUUUCACCGCUCUUCACUCCUUUACUGCACAUCGGCGGAAAUCCAUUUCACCAUGAGAGUGAAAUCCCGCUGGCCUUUGAUGGGGAGAACAUCCACGCCCUCGAGGACGUCCCCAUGGGACUUGGGGCUCUGCUACGGCUGUAUUUUUUAUUUUCCCUUACAUUUCCCCAAAAUGUCAGAAAAACACUUAUGUUGUUAAGUUACUGUGUUCUGGGGAGAAGAGAAUUUGGGGUGAAGUUACCAGGGCCGGUCAUAAAGAUGGCAAACUUCCUAACAUAACUAAGUGGAUACGAUAUACACACUGGGGCGGCAGGGUAGCCUAGUGGUUAGAGCGUUGGACUAGUAACCGGAAGGUUGCAAGUUCAAAUCCCCGAGCUGACAAGGUACAAAUCUGUCGUUCUGCCCCUGAACAGGCAGUUAACCCACUGUUCCUAGGCCGUCAUUGAAAAUAAGAAUUUGUUCUUAACUGACUUGCCUAGUUAAAUAAAGGUAAAAAAAAAAAAAAAAAAAAAAGCUGAAAAAUCUGUAUUUAGCAUCAAGUCUACAAUGUUGUUAGUUUACCUAUGAUUCAUUUUUAAUGUAUGUUUUUAUUGUACAUCAUUAUUUAUAUUCUGAGGCCACAUCGCCCGUUUUCAAAGGGUAUCGUUGGUUUUUAGAGGCAGUCGCUUUUUAGCUUUUUGUCAAAGUAUUUUCUCAACUGCGAUACCAACUCCAGUCAGCAGAUGGCGAUGUGCGUCUUUCAGUUGAUCCUGCCACUGUGACGUAUAAUCUAGUGGACGGGACGCUUCUUCAACAUCAACAGCUAGUCAGACACCUUGGUAGCUUGCUAGUCAAAAUAGCCGAAAUAUUGAAGUUAUUUGGACUGUGUCGGUGUACCAUUCUAUUUGCUUUUUCUAGGACUCUCCAUAGCUACGAAGCAGCUCUCCAAACAUACUCCCAGCAGAACCCCCAAAAUAUACGUUUGGCUGGUGGCAUAAACUUCUGUUUCCCGGACAAUGAACGGAAUUCAAUGGUUCUCUAACCUCCCAGAGACCUCGGCAAAAUCAAGCCUCCCAGGAACUAUAGACCUUCCGCUGCUUUCUAAACUAUCAUCCCCUCUCAAUACCACCCUGUGAUACUCUAUGAUGGCAGAGAAGGAACAGAACCCCAAGAUAACGUUAUAUCAAAGCUUAUUAUCCACAUGUCAAUCAUCUGAUUAAGCAUAUUUCCAUACGAGGAACUAUAGACCUCUAGGAGGAACUAUAGACCUCUAGGAGGAACUAUAGACCUCUAGGAGGAACUAUAGACCUCUAGGAGGAACUAUAGACCUCUAGGAGGAACUAUAGACCUCUAGGAGGAACUAUAGACCUCUAUGUUACUAUCUAAACUUCUGAUUAAGACUCAGUCACACAACUGACAUAUCACAGUCACACCUCUCAUAUCAGUCACGUAACUCUCAUACCAGUCACACAAUGCUAUUCCCAAACAUACAUAAUCAAUUAGUUGUUUUUCAACAAUAUUUUUACCUGCAGGAAUAUUUUCACAAUGUUAUCUCAUGGUUAGUUCCUAGGAUAAUGCAACUCAUACAUUUACAUCUUUCAAUACUUCUAAAAUGGGGUGCAGGUUUAAAAUAAUUACAGGUACACCUUACUAUCUUAUACUAUAUCAUACAUGGUCUUAACUAGGAAACACAGAUUCUAGUUUUCAUCCAAUUCACACAGAUCGCUGACUGGGCCCUGUUUACACCUCCACACAGGAAUACACACUCAGAACCUCCUGACUGGGCCCUGUUUACACCUCCACACAGGAAUACACACUCAGAACCUCCUGACUGGACCCUAUUUACACCUCCACACAGGAAUACACACUCAGAGCCUACAAGGCUUUUCUAGAAACUCCACUUUGCGUGUUUCGCUUACCUCUUUCUUGUUUAAACUACGUUUGAGAUGUGGUAUCCACUCGGCUCGCUGCCUCUCAGAUCAAAGAUGGGUCCAUCUGCUCCGUUCCCUAAGUGUGGUCUCCCCUGGGAUCCCAAAUUUGAGGGAUCCCUCGUGCACGAUUUACCCAGGUCAUCAGGAGUGGUCACCAAGUCAAGAUUCACAUUCCCAUCGCCAAAUGUGGUUGUUAAUUUCUUUAAUGUCAAUUGAGGAGACAAACUUAUCACAGAAGUCAGAGUUAUUCUUAAACUAAAUCUUUAUUCGCUUAUUAAUAAGGGAGCAGGUCAAUACAACGCACACAUAUAAAGCGAAUCAAUUGAGUGCUCUACGAUAAUGAUAUCUGGUUGGCAAAUCACUCCUAGACUAUUCGUUGAGAGCCCAGAGACAAAAGUACAAAGGUAUUUUACAGCCAAGAUACACCCCUUUCAACCUACAUGACCAACAAUAGAUGUAUAGAACGGGUCACAUGGUUAAGAUUUGUAUGAAAGAUACUUAUUCUCAGCAGACAGUAUCUGAUUUAAAACAAUACUCUUUGUGUAGAGACCAGGGUCUGGCCCUGGGGUCAUCUCUCCCUGGUACCAUAUAGAACAGAAACAUUAACUCAUGCUCUGGAAUGCGGUCUCUUUAGGUUUUAUCACCCAAAAGACAUUGUAAAUCUCCUGUCAGUGUUAUCUCCCAGAGGCCCAUCCUCAGUAGAACACACAGACACAAUAGUUCUAAGAACCCUCAAUUCUGUUGCAUAAAACAACCAUUUGACGCAAUAAAUGUAUUAUAACAUAAUCUUGCAAUUUUGCUCUCACAGUGUCCAAUGAAAGUUGACUAGUAACAACUGGGACCUAAAAGACACCCACCAUGAGACCCACUAAAUCUUCCCAAGAAGAGGAAAACAAAAUUAAAACCCACAACAAACUUAAAGACAGGAAGCAAACCAAAAAGGUGGAACAACUAAAGGUGUUGACUCUCCACAUCUAUCAAGACAACUGGUGCACUGGGCCAGACACUCUUAAAUAGCACCUGGGCCAGCUCAGGUGAAACACCUUCCCACUAACGAGAUGGACAAGCCAGCACAGGUGUAACCAAUACGUGCUAACGAGCUAUACACGCUAACGUCAAACCUCAAAAUAUAAAUGGAAAAUCCAAAGCCUGUAACACCUUCCCCCUUAAGACAACAAAUACAUCCUAUAUUUAAAGCCAUUCUGAAAUAGCACCUGGGCCAGACACUCUUAAAUAGAACCUGGAGGACUGGGCCAGACACUCUUAAAUAGAACCUGGAACACUGGGCCAGACACUCUUCAAUAGAACCUGGGCCAGCUCAGGUGAAACGCCUUCCAAUUAACGAGAUGGACAAGCCAGCACAGGUGUAACACAUACUGACUAAGGAGGAGACAAUCAGUGCACCCUACAUGCUAACGAGCUAUAUGUGCUAAAGUCCAACCUCAAAAAAUAAAUGGAAAAACCAAAGCUCGUAACACUUUCCCCCUUAAGACAACAAAUACAUCCUAUAUUUAAAGCCAUCCUGAAAUAGCACCUGGGCCAGACACUCUUCAAUAGAACCUGGAGGACUGGGCCAGACACUCUUAAAUAGAACCUGGAACACUGGGCCAGACACUCGUCAAUAGAACCUGGGCCAGCUCAGGUGAAACGCCUUCCAAUUAACGAGAUGGACAAGCCAGCACAGGUGUAACACAUACUGACUAAGGAGGAGACAAUCAGUGCACCCUACAUGCUAACGAGCUAUAUGUGCUUAAGUCCAACCUCAAAACAUAAAUGGAAAAACCAAAGCUCGUAACACUUUCCCCCUUAAGACAACAAAAAAACUCAGCAAAAAAAGAAACGUCCUCUCACUGUCAACUGCGUUUACUUUCAGCAAACUUAACAUGUGUACGAACAUAACAAGAUUCAACAACUGAGAGACAAACUGAACAAGUUCCACAGACAUGUGAUUAACAGAAAUUGAAUAAUGUGUCCAUGAACAAAGGGAGGUCAAAAUCAAAAGUCACAGUCAGUAUCUGGUGUGGCCACCAGCUGCAUUAGGAAUUGCAGUGCAUCUCCUCCUCAUGGACUGCACCAGAUUUGCCAGUUCUUGCUGUGUGAUGUUACCCCACUCUUCCAGCAAGUUCCUUGACAUUUUCUGGGGGAAAUGGCCCUAGCCCUCACCCCCUGAUUCAACAGGUCCCAGAUGUGCUCAAUUGCUCAAUGGGAUUGAGAUCCGGGCUCUUCGCUGGGCAUGGCAGAACACAUCCCUGUCUUGCAGAAAAUCACACACAGAACGAGCAGUGUGGCUGGUGGCAUUGUCAUGCUGGAGGGUCAUGGCAGGAUGAGCCUGCAGGAAGGGUACCACAUGAGGAAGGAGGAUGUCUUCCCUGCAAUGACAACAAGCUCAGUCCGAUGAUGCUGUGACACACCGCCAAAGACCAUGACGGACCCUCCUCCUCCAAAUCAAUCCCGCUCCAGAGUACAGGCCUCGGUGUAAUGCUCAUUCCUUCGAUGAUAAACGCGAAUCCGACCAUCACCCCUGGUGAGACAAACCACGACCCGUCAGUGAAGAGCACUUUUUGCCAGUCCUGUCUGGUCCAGCGACCGUGGAUUUGUGCCCAUAGGCGACGUUGUUACCGGUGAUGUCUGGUGAGGACCUGCCUUACAACAGGCCUACAAGCCCUCAGUCCAGCCUCUCUCAGCCUAUUGCGGACAGUCUGGACUGCUACUGCGAGGACGAUCAGCUGUCCGCCCUGUCUCCCUGUAGCUCCCUGUCUCACAGUACGGACAUUGCAAUUUAUUGCCCUGGCCCCAUCUGCAGUCCUCAUGCCUCCUUGCAGCAUGCCUAAGGCACGUUCAUACAGAUGAGCAGGGACCCCGCGCAUCUUUCUUUUGGUGUUUUUCAGACUCAGUAGAAAGGCCGCUCCUUAGUUGCCUACCGUCUCUAAGCUGUUAGUGUCUUAAUUAAGGACCGUUCCACAGGUGCAUGUUCAUUAAUUGUUUAUGGUUCAUUGAACAAGCAUGGGAAACAGUGUUUAAACCCUUUACAAUGAACAUCAAUUGAACAAACAUUUAGGGUUCCACAUUGUGACAUAAUAAAAAUGAUUAAAAACAUAGUGACAUUACAUUGACAUCAUGAAACAACUCCUUCAACUAUGUAUUUUCUGAUGUUUAAUCAGAUAUCUUUUAUCUGAGAAUCUCUUGUCACAUUGAUUACAGCUAUGAGGCUUCUCUCCUGUGUGUGUUCUCUGGUGUGAUACCAGGCUGUUAAGCCAAUUAAAACUCUUCCCACAUUGACUACA